AAAGAGUUAAAUAAUUAUAAAAGUUAAUGUUUCAAAAUUAUUUUAAAUAAUUAUUUAGAAAUGAAACGUUAUUCGUUUUUAAAUAUAUCUAGUUUUUUUAGAAAAAAAUUUAAUUUUAAAUUAAAUUUAUAAUUGAUUUAAUUAAUUAAUUUGAUUAUAAAUUUAAUUUUAUAAUUUGGGGGAUAAGCUUUAAAUUAGAUUUUUAUAAUAUGAAAUUUUAUAUUUUGAAAAUUUUAUAAUUUAUAUUGUUAAUAAAUUUUAUUUUAUUGUAAAUAAUUUCAUUUUAAAUAAAAUUUAAAAUUUUUUCUUUAAAUUUUUAUAAAAAUUAUAAUUUUAAAUUUUUUAAAUUUAGAAAUAAUGAUAAAAUUAGUAUAUUUAUUAAUUUAAUUUUAAAAUUAAUAUUAGUAAUUAAAUUAAUUAAAAGGAAUUCGGCAAAUUUUUAUUUUCACUUGUUUAUCAAAAACAUGUCUUUUUGAAGUUUAUUUAAAGUCUAAUCUGCCCACUGAUAAAAAUUAAAGGGCUGCAGUAUUUUGACUGUACAAAGGUAGCAUAAUCAUUAGUCUCUUAAUUGGUGACUUGUAUGAAAGAUUGAAUGAGAAAUAUACUGUCUCUUAAUUAAUUUAUAGAAUUUAAUUUUUUAUUUAAAAAGUUAAAAUGUUUUAAAAAGACGAGAAGACCCUAUAGAGUUUUAUUAAUUAUUAUUAUAAAUAAAAUUAUUUAUUUAUAUAAAAUUUUUAUAGUUUUAUUAAUUUUAUUGGGGUGAUAAAAAAAUAAAUUUAACUUUUUUUGAAAUUAAACAAAAAUAAAUGAUUAUUUGAUCCAAUUUUAUUGAUUAUAAGAUUAAAUUACCUUAGGGAUAACAGCGUAAUUUUUUUUUUUAGUUCAAAUAAUAAGAAAAGUUUGCGACCUCGAUGUUGGAUUAAGAUAAAAUUUAAAUGCAAAAGUUUAAAGUUUUUG
This 957-nucleotide ribosomal RNA is filed under the name Alcis angulifera. RNAcentral describes it as "partial 16S rRNA". The record is from RNAcentral. Lineage: Eukaryota; Metazoa; Arthropoda; Insecta; Lepidoptera; Geometridae.